GACGAACGCUGGCGGCGUGCUUAACACAUGCAAGUCGAACGGAAAGGCCCUGCUUUUGUGGGGUGCUCGAGUGGCGAACGGGUGAGUAACACGUGAGUAACCUGCCCUUGACUUUGGGAUAACUUCAGGAAACUGGGGCUAAUACCGGAUAGGAGCUCCUGCUGCAUGGUGGGGGUUGGAAAGUUUCGGCGGUUGGGGAUGGACUCGCGGCUUAUCAGCUUGUUGGUGGGGUAGUGGCUUACCAAGGCUUUGACGGGUAGCCGGCCUGAGAGGGUGACCGGCCACAUGGUGACUGAGAUACGGCCCAGACUCCUACGGGAGGCAGCAGUGGGGAAUAUGGCACAAUGGGCGGAAGCCUGAUGCAGCAACGCCGCGUGCGGGAUGACGGCCUUCGGGUUGGAAACCGCUUUCGCCUGUGACGAAGCGUGAGUGACGGUAAUGGGUAAAGAAGCACCGGCUAACUACGU
RNAcentral lists this ribosomal RNA (467 nucleotides) under uncultured bacterium. RNAcentral's name for it is "partial 16S ribosomal RNA". It matches the Rfam family "Bacterial small subunit ribosomal RNA", at positions 28 to 506 of the family's 1533-position model. The record is from RNAcentral.